CCAUCAGCAGCAGCCUCCUUAGCAGAGGUAGCAGCUUCAGCUGGAGCAGCAGCUGUGCCUCCAAUUCUUACUCCAACAGCUUUACCGGGGAAGCUUGCCGCAAGAUGUGAAGAUACACAGUCGUACCACUUGCUGGCAUUGGGGGAGGCAUCUCCAGGCUUCGCCAGAACAGCAGCGUACACCUUUAUGUCAUCCCUUGAUAGUUUA
This 207-nucleotide unclassified non-coding RNA is filed under the name Hevea brasiliensis (rubber tree). The record is from RNAcentral. Lineage: Eukaryota; Viridiplantae; Streptophyta; Magnoliopsida; Malpighiales; Euphorbiaceae.